GGAGUCUAGCAUGUGCGCGAGUCAUUGGGAUUCGUUGCUAAACCUAAAGGCGAAAUGAAAGUGAAGGCGCGCCUCGCGCGCGCCAAGGGAGGAUGGGCGAGGCUCACGCCGUCGCCCCGCACUCCCGGGGCGUCUCGUUCUCAUCGCGAGAAGAGGCGCACCCAGAGCGUACACGCUGGGACCCGAAAGAUGGUGAACUAUGCCUGGUCAGGACGAAGUCAGGGGAAACCCUGAUGGAGGUCCGUAGCGAUUCUGACGUGCAAAUCGAUCGUCGGAACUGGGUAUAGGGGCGAAAGACUAAUCGAACCAUCUAGUAGCUGGUUCCCUCCGAAGUUUCCCUCAGGAUAGCUGGCGCUCGCUUUUUGCGAGUCUCAUCCGGUAAAGCGAAUGAUUAGAGGCAUUGGGGUCGAAACGGCCUCAACCUAUUCUCAAACUUUAAAUGGGUGAGAUCUCCGGCUUGCUCGAACGUUUGUCCGGUGAAGCCGCGAGAUCGGAUCAGAGUGCCAAGUGGGCCACUUUUGGUAAGCAGAACUGGCGCUGUGGGAUGAACCAAACGCGGAGUUAAAGCGCCUAAAUCGACGCUUAUGGGAUACCAUGAAAGGCGUUGGUAACUUAAGACAGCAGGACGGUGGCCAUGGAA
Molecule: ribosomal RNA, 640 nt
Filed under: Pyrophorus sp. UPOL RK0213
Lineage: Eukaryota; Metazoa; Arthropoda; Insecta; Coleoptera; Elateridae
Description: eukaryotic LSU rRNA
Rfam family: Eukaryotic large subunit ribosomal RNA
Source: RNAcentral